GGUGAAGAAAGGGAGCUCUCAGUCUGGGGCGAGCGCUCUAGUCAGCACCGAGGGAUGCUUAGGCAGUAGUCCUGGCAGCAGCAGCAGCGGCGGAGACAGGUCCACGUCCAUGAACCAGCGCACUGACCUGGGCACCUCCUAUUUGGACCUUGCCAAGGCGCUGUGGAGUUAUUUUUGAAGAAUGGAAGUGUUGAAGGUCUCCUGAACACCGCCGCCCUUCAGAUCUGGAGAAGACAUUUCAGCAGCCCUCAUGACCCACAUCCGGAGAAACUGUCUUCUUCAGACUCUUUGUAGAG
Long non-coding RNA from Ictidomys tridecemlineatus (thirteen-lined ground squirrel), 296 nucleotides. RefSeq lists it as uncharacterized. The record is from RefSeq and is a predicted model, not a curated record. NCBI's taxonomy places the organism in Eukaryota, Metazoa, Chordata, Mammalia, Rodentia, Sciuridae.